UACGUGUGAGGCAAGCGUUAUUCGUCAUUAAUGGGUCUAAAGGGUACGUAGGCGGUAUAAAGAAUCUUAAAAUAAAUCACAUAAUAGUGAAUAAGAAAUUAAUAUACUAGAGUUAAAAGGAGUAACAAAUACUUUGAGAAGAGAGUUUCAAUACGGAGAUACUCGAAGGGUUGCAAAGCAGCGAAAGCAUGUUACUAUAAAAAACUGACGCUGAGGUACGAAGGCUAGGGUAGCGAUAGGG
Molecule: ribosomal RNA, 241 nt
Filed under: uncultured bacterium
Lineage: Bacteria
Description: partial 16S ribosomal RNA
Rfam family: Bacterial small subunit ribosomal RNA
Source: RNAcentral